CCGGAUUUAUUGGGCGUAAAGCGAGCGCAGGCGGUUUGAUAAGUCUGAAGUUAAAGGCUGUGGCUCAACCAUAGUUCGCUUUGGAAACUGUCAAACUUGAGUGCAGAAGGGGAGAGUGGAAUUCCAUGUGUAGCGGUGAAAUGCGUAGAUAUAUGGAGGAACACCGGUGGCGAAAGCGGCUCUCUGGUCUGUAACUGACGCUGAGGCUCGAAAGCGUGGGGAGCGAACAGGAUUAGAUACCCUGGUAGUCCACGCCGUAAACGAUGAGUGCUAGGUGUUGGAUCCUUUCCGGGAUUCAGUGCCGCAGCUAACGCAUUAAGCACUCCGCCUGGGGAGUACGACCGCAAGGUUGAAACUCAAAGGAAUUGACGGGGGCCCGCACAAGCGGUGGAGCAUGUGGUUUAAUUCGAAGCAACGCGAAGAACCUUACCAGGUCUUGACAUCCCGAUGCUAUUUCUAGAGAUAGAAAGUUACUUCGGUACAUCGGUGACAGGUGGUGCAUGGUUGUCGUCAGCUCGUGUCGUGA
Molecule: ribosomal RNA, 526 nt
Filed under: uncultured bacterium
Lineage: Bacteria
Description: bacterial SSU rRNA
Rfam family: Bacterial small subunit ribosomal RNA
Source: RNAcentral